RNAcentral lists this non-coding RNA (30 nucleotides) under Rattus norvegicus (Norway rat). Lineage: Eukaryota; Metazoa; Chordata; Mammalia; Rodentia; Muridae. The record is from RNAcentral.
UGUAAACAAAGGUCCUCUUGCUGGAGUUCU